CUAUCACGGAAAAAGUUUCUUGCGUUUUGGAGCACAUGUGGACACAAACCAUCACAAGCGGCAAAUAAAGGUAUAUCCAAAAAUCCUACCAACUAUAACUGCCAUCUCAAACCCCACUACAUACAUUCUUUUUCCUUUUUUUCUUCUUUUUUACAUUAAAUGCACUCAACUUUCAUUUCAUGGGCUCACUGCGAUGGCAAUGCGUGAGGGCAAGCCUGGAUUAAGUCAACUCGAGGAGGGGUUUACUGGGCAAACAAUCGAUCGUAACUCUUGUAUCGAGUGAUUGUGAUCGAUGAAUCCCACAUUUAUCGUGGAUGGUUGGUUGAUCCAGGUUGUAUUAUGAAGAUAUCCCUCCUAUCCCUAGCUAUCCUCGCUCGUUUUUAUGGACACUCGAAUAAUCUUUCAGGAGAAUAUGCAUUUGAGUUAUCAUCAACAAAAAUACGGAAUGGACGGGAUGGACGCUUAAGGCAACCAGAAUUAUUUGCAUGUUUAAGCAAAUGGAUGGAUUUGUAACUUAGAACUUAGCUUCCAGGAAAAGAAGUUCUUCUACACUUUCCACAGAGCGGAAUCGUCCCGGUUUGUUAGGCUGGCUAGUGUAAGCUAGUGGUUGCUUCUUGCCCAUGAAUUCUUCCAGCAAUCCGGCUAUAUAUUCUACUCUGCCACUGAGCUGCCGAAUUUCCUGUGUAAUUAUGUCCUGCCGGACCUGGACGUUCGCAAGCAUUCGACGCAUGGAUUGGAAUUCCUGCGCCGAACCCGUCGCGGAUGAUGAUACCGGCAUAUUGUUGUUGCAGUCGGAAUUUUGCUUUGAAUCCAUCUAAAAUUGAAAAAAGCGUUGUUAGGGACAUUUUAACUUUCCACUGUGUUAUUUAAAACAGUUUUUUCUUACCUUUUUGCGAAAAUAAUCUAAACACUCGUCACAAGACUAUCCUGAACCAGAACUAAAGCAAAAUGAAAUGUUCA
Anopheles stephensi (Asian malaria mosquito) is the source of this 960-nucleotide long non-coding RNA. RefSeq lists it as uncharacterized. The record is from RefSeq and is a predicted model, not a curated record. Lineage: Eukaryota; Metazoa; Arthropoda; Insecta; Diptera; Culicidae. The transcript is spliced from 4 exons.